CCCUCAGCCAGGCCCUCGACGUCUGGAAGGUCUUUCAGCUAAUCUACAUCCCCGAGUCCCGUUGCACAUAUGUGGAGAUGUCUUGAGGAUGGAGGCAAGCUCAAGUGAUGGCAGUUAGAGGCAGGCAUACCUACCUUCUCCAUUCUCUCUCCUACACAGUCUACCCACUGGAUGAUUCCAAGGAUACUCUGAAGCCACGUGGUGAAGAGGACUGAACCUUUACAUAGAAGGAAUUUGGGUCCCUGAGUGACAACUUAGAACAGAAAGGCCUCCUCCCCUGGACCAAUCUACAUAGGACUGUGUGAUGUAAACUAAAAAUACGUUAUGGGGUAGGCUACUGAAAUCUGGAGAUCGUUUGUUACAAAGGCUAGCAUACUUACCCUAUAGUAGGAGGAGCUCUCACCGUUCCCUGAGAGGUGCUGUUAGGAACUCACACAGGGCAGUGCUCCUUCUCUACUCCGAAUCCCCCUGGACAUCAGGAAGAGAGCUCAGUUCACCUAUGCCCACCUCUGCAGUCCGCCGCCACGCUCAGGAGGACCUCAGGAGCAUGGUAACGGCUGACAUUACUGAAUACUCACCCUGAGCUGGGCCUUGCGCUGGGCACGUUACAGCAAGACCUCAUCUGGACUUCUCAUCGCAACUCAGAAGAAGGCACUAGUCAUAUACCCAUAUCCAUUUCAGAUUUGAUCCAGAAAGGGUAAGUAACUGUCCCCAGAUGGCGCAGGUUAAAAGAACACGCAGUCCUGAGACUUCGAACCUGGCUUGAUUUUCCCAACUUCUCAAGCCAUCUUUUCUAAGGCAGAUAUGACCAAGGAGAGUCCUAUCUGAAGGCUUUACCGGUCAUCACCUUGGUUAUCAGCUAACGGUGCAUUCUCAACUGUCGGAAGUACCUGCGAGCGCUCACCCGAGAAGAGGACAAAGCUGGGGGGGAAGGGCUGCUGGUUGCAGAGGCGACAGACUUGGGAAGGCAAACUCGGCCCCGGGACGCUGGGCUGACGGCUGGCCCGCCCUGGGCCCUGGGCUGCCCUUGCCUGCAGGCCACAGUCCCACGUGACCUCACAGCCGCCCCAGAGGGGGCCGAGCAGCCGCGGGCCCAGGUGCACGGGGAGCCUAGGGCAAGGGGAGAGAAGGACUUGGGGUGGGCGGUCCUCCCACCAACCCCUCCACACCCAGCGGCCGGCCCCGAUCCAACACGGCCCGGCCUGGAGCGGAAGCCCGACUCCGAAUGGGGCAGCUUCUCCCAGUCUUCCGAUGCCCGGGGAGGAGGGGGACUCAAGGCUUGGACUCCGCGGCCUGUACACCCAGGAGUUUGGUUUGCGGUGGACAGGAGCGGCACCUACCCGGCCGUGGGAAGGUCCACGUCCAGCCAGUCUCCAAGCUUCCAAACACCCGGGGAAUCAGGUCUAAACAUAUCUUGGUCCUACUUGUAAUCAGCUGCAAAAGUACAAAGUGUGAACUCACCUGUUUAAUUGUCAAAGAAUCUGAGAGCGAUGGAAAGUUAAAGGUGCAGAAACCGAAGGUCAAAGAGGACAAGGGAUGUAAACAAGACUGCAGAAUCUCAGAGGCUGUGGAGCCAACUCUACACCCAAAUCUGCUCCUUCAGGAGGCCGGUGCUCUUUGCAUCACUCCAUGAAUUCAGGCUGUAGGAGUCUAUUAUUUACAAAGGGCAAGAAUGAGAAGAUUAUAGGGGUAGGACCAACCAGUAGCCCUGUUCAAACAAGGCAAUAACUGCUUAUUUCCCUCAGAACAAAUGUACAGCGUAAGGCACUUCAUGUCUGCCUGGUGCUAUUGAUGGUGACGAUGGCGAUGACAAUGAAGGAGACUGGCUGCUGCUGAGGGUGAUGCUCCAGUGGUGCUAACACUUCAAUUACGACACAGAGAUCUCUGUGAUCUUAAAGUUCUUGAGGUCAAACUUGGGAUCUUUUCUCUCUAGAUUGUCCAAGAGAAGCAAACUCUGGCUGGAGUUGUGUUUGCGUUCGUUCAUUCAUCAAAUAUUACAGUGGCUGAGCAACUACUUUCAGGCCCUGUGCUAGGCAUACAGAACACAGAAAUGAACAAAACACACAUACUCCCUGCUCUUGGGCAGCUCGCAAUCUUAAUUAAACACUCCACCUAGUCAUGCCCACUGGUUGGAAGGUGAGUGGGGAGCAGUGUCCCCACAUGAAAGCUGCCCCUAAGAAGCUGGCAUUUGUGGCUUUUGCUGGGUCCCACUGACCAAGGCAACACUAAGACACUAGCUGUGGGCUAGGCCUGGGUUUCCAGCCCUGGUGCUGCCAGUGGCCAGCUAGGGGACCUUGGGAAAUCCAUCUAGCAUCUCUGGCCCUGAUGUAAAAUGGCUGGGCAAAAGGGAAGGGCAAAAAAGACUCAAUUCAUGGUUUUCAAACUCAUUUUAAGCUAUAUUCUCAUUCUUUACUCAGCGAAUAUUUACCUAGAGUCGAUUUUACACAAAUACAUGAACAACACAAAUAUGGCCCGAGGCCUCAGGGAGUUUGAGGUCUGGUGGAAAUCGUAUACCAAACUCCACUGUGUAGAAAUGGAGCUAAUCCUGAGAUCAUCUGAGGCUCUACAAAACACAGUUUAAAAAAAGUGUAUAUAUAUAUACAUGGUGCGAUAUGUGACCUACUAUACAUGGUAUAUAUAUAUAUAUAUAUAUAAUCUCCACACACAGACUACUAAUCUCUCAGGCUCCUUUCUGCACUGAGAUUUCUUGGGUUCUCCCAAGUUGGGGCAACAACAGCAGCAGAAACUGAACAUCCUAUAUGCCUAUCUCUAGUCCUAUGUUGACGGGUUAUUUUCUGUAAUUUUGUCCAACAAGCCCCCAGCACUCAAGCUUGUCAAGGUACUAAUGCUUUGCUCCAUUGGUGUGUUCUGGGGAAGCCAGCCAUUUGCAUGAGACUCUCCAAGUGUCUGGUUCAAACUGGGCAGGGAAAAGAAGGCCACGUGUAUUUUCAUUUGGAGGCAGAAGGAUUUUCAUGCAUUACUCCCCAAGCACAGAGCAAGCUCUGGAGAGGCUGCCAUGGAUAUUAGCAAAAGCAAGACAAAGGGGCACAGUGUGAGUUUCUUCUGCCCAGAGAAUCUUUUUUUUAUUAUUAUUUGAAAGAAAGGGAAUGAAAGCCCAGCUCCCCUAUUCCCUUGUUAGUUUUGCAAAACAAAUGAGCAAAUAAUUUUCAUUCAUCGACUUUGUUUUUUCCUUCCAAAGAAAUCUCUCCAUCCUCUCUAAGGAAGACCCAUUUGAGGUUUCCUGCACACGGUCUGUCCACUUGGUAGGAAGGGAUUUGAUUUUUUUUUCUUUCUCGCACCAUUCUGUGCCAACGUGAGCCUGACCAUUUCCAGAUGAAACACUGCCUUUACCAGAACGAAAUGUUUGCGAAAAGGUCUUUAAUGAACUGAAAACGUUAAUUUGAAAAGUCUCCUCUGUGGAAAGAGUGAGGCUUGGAGAGGAAAGGAAAUGACACACAGCCUGUGGACUGGCAGACGGCUGGUUUCUCUCAAGUGUUUCAAAAGGGGGAGAUAGAGGAUGGGUUAGGUUGAGAUCCAAAGUGGACCCUCACUUGGAGAGCAGGACCAACAUGGCAAGUCUGAGCUUCGUUCACACACUCAGCUUUGUUUUGGUAUUUUAAAUGUCUAUACACACAGGAUUCUCCUAGUGAAAAACAAUCUACAGUCCCUAGGCCCCUUCCCCACCACCAGAAAUUCCAGCAAAUGCCCCACUGGCAUUAUUUCAAAGGUAAUCUCAAUGAGAAUGAUGUUCAUGUUAACAGCACCAACCACCACUAACACCACUUUUUUUAAUCAAGGUGUUAUGCUCCCUCCCACCCACACCACCGGUGCCACCCAGAUCGCACACAGGAGGAGAAAACAUGAAAGUUACAGACUCUGCUAAGAACGCUGAUUAUAAGUCAUCGGGCAGAUAUAAUUACAGGAAUUGCUCUCCCUAGCCGAGCUGAUAUUUAUUUCAGCAUCUCUGACCCUUCACGAGGAUCUUGCUGCCACCUCACCCCCGACUUUCCACCCCCACCCCCAAAGGGCUUUUCUAACUGAAAGCAAACCCCAGCCAAAUCCUGCUCAUACUCUCGGCCAGGUGCCAGGAAAAGUGUAAAUUUUCGUGCGCUCCGGCUAUUUUGCCAGAAGUCUGCAAAUGUGUCUGGACACGAAUGGCUGUUCCCUUUUGCGAGGCCAGGCCCAAGCACCAGGAAGUUCUAAAAGCAGCACAUGGAGAGAGAUCAGGUGACCAGAGAAAGGGGCAAGAACAGCCUGUCUGUGUAAGUAAGUCAGGCUCUCCUGGCGUAUCCUGUCUGUGGCCACAGUCAGUCACCUUAUUGCCCUUAAACAGAAAAAAAAGAAAAAGGAUAAUCUUUCUCAAACUCAGUAUUCCAACUGUGUGCUGUUAACUCUGUUCCCAAAGGCAAUCCCCCAAUUCCCUACCAGGACUUCACCUUCCAUAAUGGAAAUUAAAUCAGUUAAGUUUGGAGUGUCUGCGUGCAUGUGGUGUGUGUGUGUGUGUGUGUGUGUGUGUGUGUGUGUGUCUGAGAGAGACAGAGAGGCCGUCUGUAAGCAUGGGCACGGCUAACUAGAGUUAACCCAUGCGGCUCCUUUGGCCUUGGCAAAGAUGAAAGCAAAAAAGCAUUUUAAAGACUGUUUGAGAGGAAGGAUUUAAAAAAUGUAGAAAGCAAAGAUCACUCAACAAGCAGGGGGCAUCAUUAACCAGUCUUGCAAGCCCAGGUCACUCUUGCUGCCACUCAGGAUAGACAGGCCUUCAUCCUUUCGGAACCCCCGGCACCUGUGGGUAAGUAGGGGCACCACCGAGCCCCGUGCAGGUCUUCUCCUCCAUGUUGAUGCUUUGCCUCCCCACCAUGCCACAACUGGGUGGAUUUCACUGCUCUGUGAAGCCUGUGGUCUGUCUCUAAAUUCCCCCAGUUUUCAUUCCAUCCCUAUUGAAGGGGGCAAUAAACUUUAAUGCGGAGGAUGCAAUUAUUUGGGGGCCAGGUGUGACUUAACAAGCUUGAAAGCCUCUGAACAGAAGCAAAACCAAAGGGAAGGGUAUGUUUUCCAAGUGAUUAAAAAAUGGUGUUACUCCCUUCACACCCAUCCUGCCCUCCCCCACCCCCCGACUCCCAUCUUGCCCUAACAAAGCAAGGGACGGAUUCAAAUCAAAGGGAUCUGGACUUUACUUACCAGAUGAAUAUAUUAAAGUGCUCUGGCUGCUAAGUUUCUACCAAAACAGCCAUGGCUAGAACAAGGGAAGGACUGCACUAAAAAGGAGGAGGUGAAAAACCCCUACAAGAAACACAGAUUUGCCUCGAAUUAUACAAUAGACAUAUUUCACUAAAAUGAAAUAUAAAUGGUUUUACUAAAUGGAUUCACUGUCAGUGUACUGGCUAUUGUUCCUAGAGGGAAACCUUUCAUAAUUUGAAAAAGAAAGAGUAGCUGCUAUUUAUCUUUCAGGCCAAUUUGGGGUGCUAGGUAUGAUAUGGCCUUUUUUUAAAGUAGAGGACAGCCAAAUAAAAGGGUUUACGGAAUUUUUUAAAAUGUGAAACACUAGCCAGAAAUGUAGCUGCAAGGUGCAUGUACUGAAAUAAACUAGAGAAGGGGAAGAGAAGGAAAAAGGAGAGAAGGAGCGAAAGAGAGAGACAGUGCCUCCUUGGGUCGAUGAACCCAAUUCAAUGGAUUAAGGUGUCUGUACCCCAUCCUAAAAGGGACUGAGAUGAGCAAAUAGCAUGCAGAGAGAUGAACUGCCAAGCCGGACAACCAAAGAGAGGGGAUGUAAUUCUAUAAAGAGCAAGGCAGAGAAAACGAGUGAGGUCAGGAAAAAUGCAUGGCAGGCUGAGUGUCCUGGGAGGUUGGGGGCGGUCAGAGACCCCAGUCAAGUGUUUGAAAUAGAGAAGUUAGAAAAUGCGUUUUGGCGAUACUCAGGUGCCUCUUGUU
Long non-coding RNA from Canis lupus familiaris (dog), 5925 nucleotides. RefSeq lists it as uncharacterized. The record is from RefSeq and is a predicted model, not a curated record. Lineage: Eukaryota; Metazoa; Chordata; Mammalia; Carnivora; Canidae. The transcript is spliced from 4 exons.